This is a long non-coding RNA of Nematostella vectensis (starlet sea anemone), 592 nucleotides long. RefSeq lists it as uncharacterized. NCBI's taxonomy places the organism in Eukaryota, Metazoa, Cnidaria, Anthozoa, Actiniaria, Edwardsiidae. The transcript has 2 exons. The record is from RefSeq and is a predicted model, not a curated record.
AAUGGAUAAAACAGAGCUGUGUUUUUGUUUCGAAACUUCCAGCUCAGCCUUCAGGCUAUCUUUUAAGCUUAAUGAACUGAGAAGCGGCGAGAUCGUUUGAUAGCUUCACGUCAUUUUCAGAGAGCGUCCAUCGAUCUGCGCCUUUUGAUGACUUCCAUGCUGGGCUAUUUUGCAUGAUGUUCUUCAAUACCAAGUUUCUGUGUGAACUUGCUUGCAAAGAAACGAAUAUUGUAAUAUAUUAUUAAUCCUAAUGGCAUUCUGCCCAAGGGCAUCCACUAGUGGGUUUCCUGUUGUAUUGAUACAAUGAGUGAGAUUAGGUUGUGUUUCCUGGCAUCAUGUAGAUAAUUUAAUGGCAUUAAUACUGGGAUAUUGACAAUGGCAUUACUGUCAGGGCCGGUAUAUUGACAAUGGUAUUACGUUCUCAGGGCUUGUAUAUUGACAAGGAUAUUGCAUUGUCAGGGCCAGUAUAUUGACAAGGGUAUAACGUUGUCAGGGCUUGUAUAUUGACAAGGGUAUUGCGUUGUCAGGGCUGGUAUAUUGACAAGGCUUUGCGUUGUCAGGGCUGGUAUAUUAAAGGGGUAUUGCGUUGUCA